Long non-coding RNA from Diceros bicornis minor, 586 nucleotides. RefSeq lists it as uncharacterized. The transcript has 3 exons. Lineage: Eukaryota; Metazoa; Chordata; Mammalia; Perissodactyla; Rhinocerotidae. The record is from RefSeq and is a predicted model, not a curated record.
CCACAGUUCCCAGACCCUGGCCAGGGAGCACGAAGCACUGAUGCAGAAGUACCUGCACCUGCUGCACAUCGUGGAGACGGAGAAGACAGUGGCCAAGCAGCUACAGCAGCAGAUCGAGGAUGGGGAGAUCAAUAUCAAGCGGCUGAAGGCAGAGGAUAAUGCACAAUGAAGUAAAUGAGACAGAGAGCAUCCAGGAAAACAUAGCCAUGGAGGGCAUGAUGGUCGAAGGCUGUGAGACCCUCCUGGACACCAGCCAGACUUUUGUGAGAUGGGGCAUGGCACCCUGCCUCCCCCCAACAUCAAGUGAUAUUGACCUUUCCCUGAAGAGGCGGGAAUGAGAAAAUAAGACGAGAAGACCCUAUGGAGCUUCAAUUCAUUAAAAAAAAAAACAAAGGUAAGCCAAAUCAAGGGAUAACAAAACUUAAAUGGACUAACAAUUUUGGUUGGGGUGACCUCAGAGAAGAAAAUAACCUCUGAGUCAUUAAAAUCUAGACCAGCUAAUCAAAAUAUUUUAUCACUUAUUGAUCCAAAAUGUUGAUCAACAGAACAAGUUACCCUCGGGAUAACAGAACAAUCCUAUUCUAGA